Molecule: non-coding RNA, 29 nt
Filed under: Rattus norvegicus (Norway rat)
Lineage: Eukaryota; Metazoa; Chordata; Mammalia; Rodentia; Muridae
Source: RNAcentral
UCCUAAGGUUGCAUCAUUUCCCUAGAGUG